CAAAAUCCUCCAAGUGGUCUGUGUUCGUGGACGAAUCAAUCCAGAAGGCAUGUGUGGGAAUUGGUGGUGCCGAAGGCCAUCCAGGGCAAUCAACUUAUGGUGGCAAAUUUCACAUUGAGAAAUACAACUUUGGGUACAAGCUUGUGUUCUGCAUCACUGGCUCACAAACUUGCUUGGAUAUUGGGAGAUUUGAUGCCAAGAACGGCGAGGAAGGAAGACGCUUGAUUACCACUGAGCAUGAAGCAUUCGAUAUUGUGUUCGUACCAGCUUUUGAAGCUGAUAAGGUUAUUAAGUCCGUAGCUUGAAUCAAAUAUCUCUAAUUAAUAAGAUUUUAGUUAAUGCAAUCAUUUCUUUUGAUUUGCAUUACCUAAGAGAAUCUAUUCCAAAACUGAAUAAGAGAGUUAAUUGCUAACUUUCUUGCGUGAUAUCUUUCUCUCUUUCAUCUCUUUCAAACUUCAAUGAAAGACAUUAAAAAAAUUUAGGUUUAAUAUUAUGAGAAGCCCACACAAGUCCAUGCACUACAAAAAUUUACAAUUUUUUUAGGGUUAUUUUUUUAUUUCCGACGGUGUUAACUUCCAAAUAAUCAUUACCCGUGGUUUGAAAAACUAUUGAAAAAAACUGUUUCGCUAAAUAAUAAUCGACAACUUUUAAAAAAAUCGUCAGUAUUAGCGUGAGCUUGGAGAAAACCGUCAAUAUUAAUGGGGUUUUGGAAAAACCACCGGUAAUAAUGGUGAUUUCUCAAAACUCACUGAUAUUUGCAGAGGUUUCUCAAAAACUAUCUAUAUUUCCAGGAGUUUUGAAGAAACCGUCAAUAUAAUCAGAGAUUUCUAAAAAUCUGUCAAUAUUUACAAAAAUUAUAGAAAAACCGUCAGAAAUGUGUGCAGAAGUUUUUGAUUAUUGAUUAAAUGAAAUUAUGAUCAAAUUAUUUUAAUAACCACAGUGAAAUAAUAAGAACUAAAGCUGAAUAUUAUAUGUAAAAUAAAUUACAUUAUUCAAUAUAUUAAUAUAAUUCAUAUAUUUAAUUUUUUUUUCAUAAAUAAAAAUUAAAAAGAAAAAUAUUCAAUACUAAAUUAAAAUAUUAAAAAUAUGACCGAGAAAGAUGUUCAUUAAGAAUCUUGAUUUUGAUACAUAAAGUUCAUAAUAAUGAAUUCAGUUGCACAAAAUUUUUCAAAAUCCAUCUUUCUAUAUUGUAAUGAAUUCAACUGUCAUAAAAAAGAAAUAUAAAGAUGUAAGAUUGAAAUAAAUCAAAUUAAGUGAUAUAUCUAUAUACACAGAACAAAAUAGUUUUACUGAAAAAAGAAAGUCAGGGAUGCGAGACUCUUUCAUGGCAUAUGUUUUCUACCAAAAUAAUAGGUUUCUGGAAGCAUGUUGACACCAUUAUUAAAUUCAAUUCACAUAAAUAUAAUAAAAUUAGUUUCUUUGUCGUAAAUAGAAUUGAUAAUGAUAGAUAUAUCUUUUAUGGUUCAAAAAUCCUACUCCUAUUUGUUAAAUUCGAUUAAAUUUGUGCACUUGUCAAAAUAGAUUAAUAUUGAUUAAAUAAUUAUCAUAGUUAUCUAUUUACUUAAUUUAAAUUGUAGUUCGAGUUUGAAAACCAAAUAAAAAUUGAGUAUAUUUAUAAUUCAGUUAUAAUUCUAAUUAUUCAAAUAGUUAUUUCUAUUAUAUAUAAAAUAAAGUCCAACUUCAUACUAUUUGUUAUCUCUAGUUUAUCAAUACUAACAACUUUUAUAUAUAUUUAUAUAUAUAUAAACAUCAUCUGCAAAAUGUUUUCCUACUCUUCAUCCAAAUUCAUAAAAGUCACAAAAACAUGUAAAAAGGUUUUCAGUAACUCACUCACAUUCUCACCCUGUUCAAUUGAUUGAGUAAUCAAAUUAUGAUGGCAAUUCAAAUUUGGAAUUUAAAUAUUCUCCAAAUUAUAUCAUAAAUUUGUGUUCAAUUUUCAAGUCUAGCACAUGAACUCAAAACAUUCUAUGAAAAGAUAUAUAAAUUAGUCUUACGUCAUUUAAAAUUAGUCUAAAAAAGGGAGAUAGCUUGAGAGUUAUCACAAAUACAGUUUGGGUGGUAGAUCUUUCUUCACCACAUUCAUGUCGAUUCUUUGAACAAAGCCUUUUAACUCUUCAUAGAGGAUAUGAGACCUCUGGUUCAUAAUUUUCACAUCUGUCAUAGUUGAAUUGAUGUGUUGUCCAUUCUCUAUAGGGUUUUGGAAGCUGCAAAUUAAAACAUUUGGUUAGACACAUUCUUUAAUAUGAUUCAUCGCUAAACGAUACAUGCAUUAUCUAUAUAAAAAUUUGUCAAUAAAUAAGAUAUGUAUUACCUACAAAAAAAAUUUGUGAAUAAAGUGAUCGAUAAUGUAUAUUUCAUUUAUUAGUGAAAAAAUUUGUUUGUAAAUGAGAUAUACAUUACUUACAUAAAAAGUUCAUCAAUAAAUUCGUUGAUAAUGAAACGUGCAUUAUUUAUAGAAAAAUCCGUCGAUAAAUUAGAUAUGUAUUACUUCCGAAAAAAUCUAUUGAUAAAAUGGGUGAGAAUUUUGCCACAUAUAUUUUAUUUAUCGACAGAUUUUUUUCGUCUGUAAAUCAAAUAUACAUUGAAAAAUUCGUUCGGUAAAAUGAGUGAGAAUUUUUCUGGUCAUUUUUUCCUCUGCUAAUGAGAGAGAAACAUUAUAUAUUUUUCACUUUCUCACAGAUGUUCAUCUUUAGUGCACGAAGCAGCUUCAUCUUCCCCGUCUUCUUCCUCUCAACUCCACCACAACAGCUACAAGCCUUCAUCUUCGUUCAAUCGGGUUGUCGUCUCUGUUCAUCCUUGCUAUCGUCUUCGUUCAGUCAGGUUGCCAUCUCCGUUCAGUCAGUUUGUCAUCUUUAUUCAGCUAGGUCACCACCAUCUCUAUUCAGAUAGUCAUCUUAAAUAUAUUUCAAAUUCAGAUGUUACACAUAUUUAUAUGAGUAGUGAAUAAUUGAUUAUGAACUAUAAAUAAUCAAUUGUUGUAAAUUAUUUUGUUGAAACUAAACUUUUCCUAAUUAGUUGAUUAUUUGAGGCAACGAUUGAUUAUGUUAUAUGCUUCUUUCAAGAAAAACAUCACAUUCUCUAAUUAUCUAUUAUGUUUAAUUAUGUUGAUUCAAAAUUGUUAAUAGGUUACAUGAAAAACAUAUAUAUUAACAUAAUAUGAUUAAGUAUAACAGAUUAUAUUAAUUAGUAACCUCAACACUCUUUUAAAAGAAAAAUUCUCUCUCGUUUAUUUUAUGAAUGAGAUAUUAAAAAACUAUUCUAGAUUUACGAAGGGAAAGUGAUUAUACUAUUGAUUUUUGUUUUAAUUUUUUUUAACUUUUCCUAAUUAAAAAAUAAUAAUUGUUUAUAUCUUAUGACAAUAAUAUUAUAUAUUAAUAUUAAUAUCACGUGUAAUUUAAUUCUAUUUUUUAAAUAAUUUUGAUCAUUUAUAAAUUGAGAUUAAAUUUAAUUUUUAUAUAAAUAUUAUAUUGAUAUUUAUAUUAAAAUUACAUCAAUUUUUAAAAAUAUUGAAAUUUAAUUGAGACAAAAAUAUUAAAGACUAAUUUGAAAUAUCUUUGACGAAAAUUAAAAUAAAAAUAUAUUUAAACCUGAAAAAAAUAUACAUUAAUUAUUAGAUAAAUAGAUGAUUUAGUACAAUAAAGAUUAAAUAAUUUUUUUUCGAUUAAAUAAAAAUGAAACAUGCUAUUCUUGUUAUAUUAAACUAAUUAUUUAUUAGUGGUUAAUUAUUUUACAAUUAGAACGUUUUUGAAGAAUUUGUUUUGAAGUCAAAAUUUAUUACAUAACUGCAUAUACAUUCAUUUGAUAUUAAAAAAAUGCAUUAAUAACAUAUUAAUGCAUGGAAUUAUGAAAUACAAUUGAUUGAUUUCAUUUCAAAUCAAAUCCUUAGAAGAAUGAUUCGUAAAUAAUCUAUGUGUAACCUCCAAAAUAGAAAUUGUUUCAAACUAUGAAAUAAUAUGUAACAGCAACUAAACAAAUACGAUAAUAUAAUAAUUUCACACAGAAAAAUGAAAUAAGAGUCAUUCAAUUAAGAAAUAUAAUUUUUUUAAUAUUCAAUAAACUAUACAAAUUUAUUAAGUACUGAAUUUAGCAUAUAGAAAUUUAGGGGAGACUCUAAACUUCAUGAAAAGAAACUCUAUAAAUAAAUACCUUACUCUAUCCAUGUUUUAAAAAUCACUUUUCUUCUUUCUCUACCAUCUCUCCACCACCAUUCUCUCUUUCUUUUUUGGUUUAAUCAUUUAGAUUGUCCCUAUUUAUGUUGGAUUUUCUCAGUAUUUUAAAACGUCUUAAUUAAGUCCCUAUUUUUGUAAGAUUGAAUCAAUUAAGGGUUUGCCGUUAACUUAACUAAACGAUGUUAAAAUUGACUGGGGUGGCAUGCUGACAGUUUAUACUGUUUUCUCACAAUUUUUAAUUAAAUUGAGUGUGAGUGUCAGCCCUGAGAAAACAGAGGCUCGAGAUUUCUCUCCCUCUCGAAGGGUUAGUCCCUCUUGAACCCACGCACACCACUGCCUCAGUCAACCGGAAUCGCCACCGCAACGGCCCUCCCGGUUUGUCCAAAGAGUCACCGGCGGCCUUCGCCGGCCACAACGUUUUCCCCCUUUCUCCCUCUCGCUCCGAUAACCAUAGAAGCCCCCCAUCUUCGCCGGCAGCCACGAGCCACUCUCGCCUCCAUCCAACUGAUCCAGCCACCGCGACGGAUCCCCCUCUGUCCAAGGCGUCGCCAGCGAACACUGCCGGCCACGACAUUUAACCAUUCCUGGCUCCUCUCUGCACGCAAGGAGGAGGCGCCCUCGCCGUUCAUGAUGUGCCCAGUCGUCGUCGAAAUGAGCCACCACCACAGAAUCACCCUCAAGCCCUAGAAUCCCGUCGCCUAACGUCAUCGCAAACACCACCCAGACCGCCACUCUCAAAUCUUGUCACCUCCACUAGUCAGGGCCGUCAUUUGCCUUCUCAUGGCCUUGGACGAUUUACAGGUUGGAUGAUGGUAUGAUGCGAGAGCUGGUUCAGUGCAGGUAGGAUACAAGCUUGUGCGUGGGGCUAGAAAUUGAUUUUGGUUCUUGGUGAUUGGUUUUAUUUUUGUGGAUUUGUGUAGUGCAGGUCAAGCAAGAUGGUGUGAUGCGUGAGUUACGAUGGAGGUUCUAACGGAGUGAUUCUGGUGAAGAUGGACAUACUGGUUCUGGUUCUGAUGUUUUCUUUUUUCUGCUUUGUUUCUCUAGUGAGGAUAUAGCUUAAAAACAAAGGGGAGGUUUUUGAAGUGGAUUAAAAGCAGAAGGAAUUUUCAUGGCUCAUUGUGCUCAGGAGAAUAGGAUGAAGGAGAGCAAUACAUAAUAGAAAAUGGAAGACUCCUAAUAUGAGAAAAUGGAACAAUGAAAUUUUAUUAAAAGAAAUGUGACAAAACCAAGUCAGCUCACCGUAAACUGACACCUAAGCCAAGUUUGGAUGUCAUGCAUAUUCAAUUUUAAUACCGUUUAUUCAAUUUAACGGCAAAUCCUUAAUUGACUCAAUUUUGCAAAAAUAAGAACUUAAUUGAGACAUUUUAAAAUAUUGGGACCUAAUUGAGAAAACUUAACAUAAAUAAGGACAUUCUAAAUGAUUAAACCUUCUUUUUUAAGAUCUUUCUUUUUCCACCAUCUAUUUAAAACAUUGUUAAAUAAUGUUUUUACCUCUUUGUGAAAUGAGACUAUCGACUCAUUCUAGUGAUAUUAUAAUAUUAUUUUAAAUUAAAAUAUCAACUUGUUGUGAAUGUCUCUCUUUCACAAUUAAGAAAGAAACAUUAAAAUAAUUUACCCACUUGUUGUGAAUGUCUCUCUUUCACAAAUGAACCUUUGUUGCUAUGUCCAUUCAUAACAUAUCCUUCCACAACUUCCACAUUUGUUGCUGCCACAUGUUUCUAUUCCGAGCUCUGCAUACCUACCAUUUAUUAUCUUAUGAUUUUUGAAGUAGAAACACGUGCUGCUAUAGCACCAUCUUUGGUUCUAUAUAAAGAACCAAAAAGCAGUACUCCAAAACAUCUCCAACAACACCUUCCAAAUCGAUCAACCAUGAAGCCAACCGUAGUUCUUGCUCUCUCUUUCCUCCUUCCCCUCCUUGCUUUCUUCACCAACAUUCCCUUAGCUUUCUCAGAUGAUGUUGAACAAGUUGUGGACAUAUAUGGGAACCCCAUUUACCCAGGUUUUUCAUACUACAUCAUCCCAGCACUCCGUGGUCCAGGUGGUGGUGGAUUGAAACUUGCCCAAACUGGAAACUCAGAGUGCUCUCUUACUAUCCUGCAAGAUUACUCUGAAGUCUUCCGUGGCCUUCCUGUGCAAUUCACCAUUCCCGGAAUCAGUCCUGGAAUCAUCUUCACAGGUACUAAUUAAAACUUAAUUGUCAUGAAUUGAAUUGUUAGAAGUUUCAAGUGGAUUAAAAGUAAAACCAAUUUAUAAUAUAUAAUAUAACGCUGAUUUUGUGAGAUUGAGUCAAGUUUAAAGUUCACUCCUUAAUAUGGUAUCAUAGUAAUGAUUAGAGUCUAUCUUAAGAUAUUUGUUGUUUAUUGAACAUUUUGUUCGACCUGUUAUCGGAUCAUUAUUCGACCACUUAUUAAUAUCUAGUCUCACGCUUUGUUUAUACGUUGGACGUAAAGAGUGUGUUGAGAGUGUGACAUCAAUUAAUGAUAAGAUAAAAUUAAUUUGUAAUAUAUAAAUGAAUGUGGACCUCGUCUUAUUAGAGACCGGUUUUAUAAUAUUGAAAUAGGUUUGAAAUUGACUUAUAAAAUUUCGUAUAAAUUAUCUUCUGUUACUAAUUUCAAGUUUUGGAAACAUCCCUAUAGGUACCGAACUGGAGAUCGAGUUCGUAGAGAAGCCAUGGUGUGCAAAAUCCUCCAAGUGGUCGUUGUUCAUAGAUGUAUCAAUCGGGAAGGCAUGUUUGGGAAUUGGUGGUGCCGAAGGCCAUCCAGGGCAAUCAACUUAUGAUGGCAAAUUUCACAUUAAGAAAUACAUAUUUGGGUACAAGCUUGUGUUCUGCCUCGAUGCCACAAAAGCUUGCUUGGAUAUUGGGAGAUUUGAUGCCAAGAACGGCGAGGAAGGAAGACGCUUGAAUACGACUCAGGAUGAAGCAUUCGAUAUUGUGUUCGUACCAGCUUUUAAAGCUGAUAAGGUUAUUAAGUCUGUAGCUUGAGUCAAAUAUCUCUAGUUAAUCAGAUUUUAGUUAAUGCAUAUGUUGUUGUUUUGAAAGUGCUGUGCCCUUACUGUUUGAUUAUUUAUACAUUGGUCAUAUAUAUAUAUAUAUAUAUAUAUAUAUAUAUAUAUAUAUAUUAUUUUACAUUGUUACUUAAUGGAAAGUGACUCUCAAAUUUAAACUAUUACGUUAUAAAAAUUAAGGAAAAUGAUAUUUUUACACCAAUUUUUGACACUAUUUUGACACUGCACACGUGUCAAAACAUGGUUGGACGAUAUUAAAUUAAAAAAACUGAAACAAGGACAUAUUUGGAAGAAAAAAACCAAACUUUUUUUUUUAAUUUGAAAUCAUCCAACCACGUUUUGACACGUGUACAGUAUCAAAAUGGUGUCAAAAAAUUGGUGUCAAAAUAUCAUUUUUCAAAAAUUAAAUCAAAAUGUGAAAGAAUGUGUGAGUUCUAUUUUAAUUGAAAAUAUGUAUAUGUCAGAAUUUCUCUUCAAGAACUUUUAGGAAGAAAAAAAAAAUGAAAUUAGUAUCUCAAUAAAUUAAAAAUAAUUUAUUAAUAAAUUAAUCUAUUGACAUUAUUUUACGUAGCUUCUUAAGAGUUAUUUUUAACUUACGUAUGAUGCCAUUUUAGUUUAUGAAAAACUUUAUGUAUUUUUAUUUUUUUUAUCUUAAAAGUUGUUAAGGAGAAACUCGUAUUACUAUAAAGACUCCUAUUACAUAUUUAGACAGAAUAUACGAUUUAAUGUGCGAAAGUUUUAGUGGAAUAAACAGUCAAUUAACAUAACAUGGUAGGGAUUAUCAACCGAAUACAUUUCCUACUCACGGUUAUACCUACAAACAUCAAAGCAUUUUUUUUUAAUCAACAAAGAAUAAAUAUAAUUAUAUUGGAUCACUUGGUUGCUCUAUCCCAUUUACAUAAUAUAUGUUAGUAUUUUAAUCUGAAUAUCUCCCAACUGUAAUAACUGUCCUCUGACAGUUAUUCUCAUUCUUUAGUUUUACUCUUUAAAUACUUCUUUUGUACUCUCUAUUUCAAUUUUCUUCAAUAAGAAUAACUCUCAUUUUCUUCAAACUCUCUUACACUCUGUAUUCUCUCCUCUGCAUAAUUGCUUCUCUGCAUAAUUCUUCCAAACUGUAACAUUGGUAUCAGGAGCUAGGAAAUUCGGUGAAGACAGCUCAAGUCAUUUCAAGAAGAAAAGUGUUCGUGAGUAAUGGCUGGAAUGAUGCACAGCAACCUACCUGUUUUCGAUGGCAAAGGAUUCGAUGAUUGGUGUAUUAAGAUGGACGCGAUCCUCGGCUUUCAAGAGGUAGAUGAAAUUGUAAGAAAAGGUUUUAAAGAACCUGUCAAGGAUGAUUCAGAAGCAGCCAAGAAGCUAUACAAGGAAAACAAGAAGUUGGAUUGCAAAGCAAGAAUGUUGUUGCAUCAGUGCAUAUCGGCAACAAUUUUUCAGAAAGUCUCAAAGGCUACUACGGCGAAGGAGAUUUGGGAUAUCUUGCAAGAUGGUUAUGGCAAUUCUGGAAAGGUCAAGAAGACAAGAUUACAGUCAUUGCAGAGACAGUAUGAACUUCUCGCCAUGAAGGAGCAAGAAACAGUGGUCGAAUACAUUGGUAGACUUCAAUUGAUUGUGAAUGCAAUGAGAGCGUGUGAUAAGAUUGUCAAAGACAAGAAAAUUGUAGAGAAAAUACUCAGAACCCUAACCCCUCAAUUUGAUCAUAUAGCUUUGACCAUAGAAGAAACUAAAGAUCUCGAGAAGUUGAAGGUGGAGGAAUUGCAGAAUUCUUUAGAAGCGCAUGAGCAAAGAUUAAUCGAAAGGAGAAAUGUUGAAAAAGGCGAAAAUCAAGGCGUGAGUCAAGCAUUACAAGCCAGAAAUGAUUACAAACCCAGAGGCCGUGGGAGAGGCAGAGGUCGAUCAAGAGGAGGACGCAAUGGUGGUAGAGGCAUGAAACCAUCAGAUCAAAGUAAUGAAGAUAAUGGAGGUGAACAAAAGAAUGGAAGUGGUCGAGGAGGUCGACACUCGAGAGGCAGAGGCAGAAAGGGUUAUGACAAAAGGAGUAUCCAGUGCUUCACUUGCAGCAAAUACGGCCAUUAUUCCACGGAGUGUUGGCAUAAUGAAGAUUCGAAGGGAACCAAGAAUGGAGGGUCAGCCAAUCUUGCACAAGAAACUGAAGAAUCAGAGUCUGAUCAUAUUGUGUUAAUGAGCACAAUUGAAAGAUUCGAAAAAGGGCAAUGUAAGAAAUUGACGUUGAACGGGAUUAAGCAAGAAAUGAUUCUGGUGGACAGAUGCAACGAAGCACAUGUGUCAAUCUCAGAAGAAAGUGGAGAACACGUGUCGUCAUCGUUCGAAAGAAGACAUGCAGCAAAAGACGUAGCACCCGCACAUACGUUGUCGUUCGAAAUGAGACAUGAAGCGAAAGAUGUAGCUCCCACACAUGCGUUGCUCUCAAACGGUGUAAAUCAAGCGGCGAAUGAUGAUUCAUGUAGCUGGUAUUUGGACACGGGUUGUUCGAACCAUAUGACAGGGAGACGAGAAUGGUUAGUAAACCUCGAUCCAAGUAUAAAGAGCCGUGUGCGAUUUGCGGACAACAGCACGAUCAUGGCGGAAGGAGUUGGCAGAGUCUUGAUCACUUGCAAGAACGGUAAGAUCGCUUACAUGGAUGACGUCUUGUAUGUUCCUUCAAUGAAGAGCAACUUGUUGAGUUUAGGGCAACUCCUGGAGAAAGGGUACACCAUGUCUAUGCAUCAGCGACAUAUAGAAAUAUUUGACAGCAAACAACGUCCUGUGAUUAAAGCACCACUUGCCCGUAACAGGACUUUCAAAGUGAAUUUGAACGCUGCAGCUAUACAGUGUUUGUCUGUCUCAAACCACGAAGAAGAAGGAUGGCUAUGGCACUACAGAUACGGGCAUCUAAAUUUCAAAGGCCUGAGUCAAUUGAAAGGCAAGGAUUUGGUGAAAGGUGUGCCUUCAAUAUUUGUUCCAGACAGAAUCUGUGAGGGUUGUGCUAUAGGCAAGCAAUCUAGAAGGAGAUUUCAACAAUUGGCACCCAAAAGAGCGAAACAGCCUCUGGAUGUUGUCCACUCAGACGUUUGCGGCCCCUUCGAUGUUCCAUCAGUUGGAGGUAACAAAUAUUUCUUGUUAUUUGUAGACGAAUGGACGAGAAAAAUGUGGAUAUAUUUGUUGAAAGCAAAGAAAGAGGUAUAUUCAUAUUUUGUGAAAUUUUGCUCUUUGGUGGAGAGACAAUCUGGCUCGCAGGUUAGGGUGUUCAGAACCGAUGGAGGAGGAGAGUUCAACUCCUCUGAGAUGGACAAGUUUUGCACUGAAAAAGGCAUUGUGCAUGAAGUAACGGCUCCCUACACACCACAGCAUAACGGCCUAGCUGAAAGAAGGAACAGGACGAUAGUUGAUAUGACGAGAUGUAUGAUUAAAGCCAAGCAAUUGCCGCAUUGUUUGUGGGGAGAAGCAACAUCUACUGCUGUCUAUCUUCUGAAUAGAAGUCCUACGAAGGCCUUGCCUACAUGUACCCCUGAAGAAGCCUGGUCUGGAAUUAAACCAACUGCAUAUCAUUUGAGAGUUUUCGGGUCUGUGUGCUAUAGACACAUCCCAGAUGAACGAAGGAAGAAACUGGAUGAUAAGAGUGAGAUUCUCAUCUUUGUUGGCUAUCAUCCUACAGGUGCUUACAGACUGUAUGACCCAGUAAAGAAGCAGGUUGUCAUCAGUCGAGAUGUGGUGGUGGAUGAAACAACAACAUUUGACUGGGAGAAGGCUGAAGAAAAAUCUGAAGGAGGUUGUAUUCCAAGUUGGCUUGAGGAUAAGAGUUCCUUCAAUGAUGAGCAAACAGACGCAGACCGUGAAAUUAACAAUAGAAGAUCACAAAGGACAAGGUUUCCAUCCACCAGACUUACAGACCAUGAAGUCUUUCCUGACAAUGAAGUUACUAGCUCAGGUGAUCUUGUACAUUUUGCGUUUUUGGCCGACACAGAACCACUGACCUGGAAGCAAGCUAUUGAUGUAAAGGAGUGGAGAGAAGCCAUGUUGGAGGAACUUAAGGCAAUAGAGAAAAACAGAACCUGGGAGAUGGUGGAAUUACCUCAGCAUAAACAGCCCAUUGACGUUAAAUGGGUGUUUAAAAUCAAGCACAAACCAGAUGGUGAAGUAGCAAAGUUCAAAGCCAGAUUGGUGGCAAGAGGUUUCUUACAAAAGCCUGGAGAGGAUUUCACUGAUGUGUUUGCUCCUGUUGCACGACUUGAAACAGUGAGGUUGUUGAUUGCUGUGGCCAAUAUUAAAGCUUGGAGAAUUUGUCAAAUGGAUGUUAAAUCCGCUUUUCUGAACGGUUUUUUGGAGGAAGAGGUUUAUGUGAGACAACCUCCAGGUUUUGUGAAGAAAGGAGAAGAAGGAAAAGUGUAUAGAUUGAACAAAGCUUUAUAUGGUCUCAGGCAGGCACCUCGUGCUUGGAAUAACCAUAUCAACGCAGUUCUGCUCAAACUGGGAUUCAAGAGGUGCUCCGUAGAAUCUGGAGUCUAUGUGAAAUCUGGUGAAAGGCAAGGUAUGUUGUUGAUAUGCCUAUAUGUGGAUGAUCUUCUUAUAACAGGAGACUCAAUAGAUGAAAUUGAAGAAUUUAAGAAGAAGAUGAAGGAGGAAUUUGAGAUGACAGAUCUCGGUGGUUUAAGCUACUUCCUGGGUUUGGAAUGUGUGCAGACAAGCGGUGGAAUGUUUCUUAGUCAAAGGAGAUAUAUUAGCAAUGUGUUGAGAAGAUUUAAGAUGGAAAACUGCAACAGUGCAGCAGUACCAAUAAUGACAAAUUUGAAGUUGAUAGACAAUCCAGAUGAGAAGAAGGUGGACGCCACUUUAUAUAAACAAAUGGUAGGAUCCUUGCGUUAUAUUUGUAAUAGCAGACCCGAUAUCUGCUAUGGAGUUGGGCUGGUGAGCAGAUUUAUGCAGGAGCCUAGACAAUCACAUCUUGCUGCUACCAAACACAUAUUGCGAUAUUUGAAGGGAACUUCAAAUUUUGGUCUGUUCUUCCCCAAAAACCCGAACAACAUGAGAGGAGUUUUGGAGGCUUGGUGUGAUGCUGACUGGUGUGGUGACAAAGUUGAUAGGAAAAGUACUUUUGGGUACUUGUUCAGAUAUAUGGGAGCGACUGUUUCGUGGUGCUCCAAGAAGCAGAGCGUGGUCGCAUUAUCCUCUUGCGAGGCUGAAUAUAUCGCAGCUGCUGAGACUGCGUGUCAGUGUGUGUGGAUGGAAACUAUGUUUGAUGAACUAAGGAUUGAGUACGGAAAACCGGUGCAGCUCUCAGUGGAUAAUAAAUCAGCAAUAUGUUUGUCCAAAAAUCCAGUUUUUCACGGUAGGAGCAAACACAUUGAAACCAAAUUUCAUUUCCUAAGAGAUCAAGUCAGCAAAGGUAGAUUGGAGCUGGUUCAUUGCAGCACUGAUGAUCAAAUUGCAGAUGUGUUCACCAAAGCUUUGAAGCAAGUCAAAUUUGAGAAACUUAGAGAAUUGCUUGGUGUUAAAACUUUUGUAAAUUCAGAUUAAGGAGGGCGUGUUAGUAUUUUAAUCUGAAUAUCUCCCAACUGUAAUAACUGUCCUCUGACAGUUAUUCUCAUUCUUUAGUUUUACUCUUUAAAUACUUCUUUUGUACUCUCUAUUUCAAUUUUCUUCAAUAAGAAUAACUCUCAUUUUCUUCAAACUCUCUUACACUCUGUAUUCUCUCCUCUGCAUAAUUGCUUCUCUGCAUAAUUCUUCCAAACUGUAACAUAUAUACAAAUUAUUUUUUUCUACAUUAGUCAUAACGUUGAUUUGAAAAUUUUUCUAAUAUAAAAAAAUCUUUUUAUACUAGUUAAAAGAGGUUUUCUAUACCAAUUGUAAAAUCGAUAUAUAGAAACAAACAAUAAAAAAGUUUUAACUUUUCUAUAACGAAUUCAUAAUUGGUAUAGGAAGUUUCUUUUUUUCAUAAUGGUUAAUACCACAAUCGGUAUAAUAACCUAAUGCUUUCUUUUUCUUUUGUUCGCCUAUGAACAUAACAUUCUUAAACACAUCAACCAUGAAUCUAGAGCAAAACCAAGAACUAAAAAAUAAUUAUUCACUAAUUGAAUGCCCCACAAUUGCAUCUGUUGUCAUCGUUGACGUCUGACACUUCUUUAGAGCCUUUGAACAUAACAUCACUUCUUCUCUUGAGCAUUCUUUUCAAACAAAAACAACCAAGGUGCAAUAACUUCAAAGAACCUCUAAGUCAUCGCUCUAUACUUAUACUUGUGGUCGUCGACGGUUUCGCUAACACAACCUUUUUCUCCCUCUUAAGGGUUUCUCCAUAUCUCCCAAGUGUUUAUCUCCUCAUGCUUUGUUGCCAAUAUGUUGUGACGGCUUACAACUAGAGGUGUAGCACUACCUCGUCACCAUCGUCUAAGUCGUUGUUGGUGCUGGCGCAACCUCUCUACUCCUUCCACUUCAUAUGAGUGUCUUCCUUCUUGCUCACCAAAAUUAAAAUCCUCUCCAUUAUACUGAGAGUGACACCACUUAAUCUUGUUGUUGAUCGUCGCUAAACCAAUAUUCAGAUAUGUUUUUGGCACAUUGUUCUUUACAAUUAAUAAACAUGAGGAUCCUUUAGAAAUCUUCCUUUGAGAAUUUUGAUAUAACGUUGAGAUUCCCAAAGUCUUGUUGACUUUUUUGUUGUGUUACAUUUGUGUUGUUUAUGGGUGCUAGCUAAGAUAAAUGAAAGCGUUAGAGAAGAAUGGUUGGAUGGAAUUUAUUAUAUGAAAACUAUGAGUAUGGAGUUGAAGAUCACAAAUAAUAAUCGAGAGUUCAGAGAUAUGACAAAAUUUUUUGAAAUUAUCGACGGAAAUAAAUUUGUCUAUAAAUUUGAAUUAUCGAAGGAUUUUGCUGACAAAUUUUUAAUUCCGUCAGUAAUGCAUAUUUCAUUUACCGACAAAAUUUUUCGUCGAAAAAUCCGUCGAUAAUACAUAAUAAAUUUAUCGGUGAAAAAAUUUAUCAUUAAUACAUAUUAAAUUUAACAAUGGAAAGGUUUGUCGGUAAAUCCAUAGGAAAUACAUAUUAAAUUUAUCGAUGGAAAAAUAUGUCGGUAAAUCUGUUGGUAAUACAUAUUUAAUUUACCGACGGAAAGUCCUUCGAUAAAUCCUUUGAUAAAUACGUCGAUAAAAAGAACGACAAAUUUCCCACCCAUUCUUUGUCUCUUUUCGCGAACUGCACAUUACUUUUCUCACCACUUUUCUUUUAUUUUCAAAACCCUCUUCAUCUUCUUUUCUCUCCGUGAGGCAGCCCCUCAUCUCUCCUAUUUUUUCCAUCUAAGCUUAGAUUACCGCAACUCUAGGCCCAUUUGAUGCGCCUCCAUCUUUGUUUAGCCAAACCGCCAUCUACGUCGCCAUCUAUGUCGUCAAGCUUGGGAUCUUUCGCUUCGCUUCAUCUUCUUCUUCUUUAACACAUGUAAGGGAGAGAUCAUGGUUCAGUUCUUCCUUUUUCAUGCAAGGGCACAUCCAAGCUAGGUGCACUAUUGUCGUGCCACGCACUAGCACCACUAUGCAUCAUCGUUGGACCAUGAUGGAUUUGAAGCCAACAAAAUCCUUUUAUUCUCUUUUCUCUCUUUUUUAUUUGUAUUUGUGGUGAAAUAAUUUGAUAGGUUGGCUAUAAUUUUGUGUAGGUUAUGAAAUUGUUGUAAUAAUAGUUGGGUGAUAAUAAAAUUGUGUAACAAACCAAAGUGGAAUAGUGAAUAAAAGCAUAACGAUGAAAUUUUGUGCAUAAAAUUGUAUCAAUUUGUGUAACAUUCGAUUAUAAUGUGUCCAUUUUUGUUGAUUGAAAAAAAAAUAAGGGAAAGAAGAAAGGAAGAGGGGAAGAAGUUGAACCAGAUCUUAGUAGUUUGCAACCAAUUCAUUUUUUGUAUCUGUUAGGUCCAACCAAUAUAUGAAGUGUUCUACUUAUUUACCAAAUUGUCACCACAUUAGAUGGAGAACUAACCCAUGACUCCAUAUAAGAAGAACUUGAGGAGGAGCCUUUUGCAUGAAGGUAUGAAGGUCAUAGCUUGGAGCACAAUCUUGGUAAUACCUACACUUGUGGUGCAUCAGGUUUUUUCUUUUUGUUUAUUCAUUGUGUAUUAGUGUUGCCUUUGUUGUUUAGGCAAGGCUUCCAAAGGGAGUGUGUGUAGACUCUUAUUUAAGAAUGUGUUUUGUUGUGAUUGAGAGAGUGAGAGUAUAUUGAGUGAGUCUUGUAUUCUAUAAAUCUUGACAUUUGAUUUUAGUGGACUUCAACUCGAGUUGUUGAAAAAAAGAUUGAAUGUAAAUUCUUGAAGAGUUGAACCGAUAUAAAUCUUGUGUUGUUUUCUUUCACUAAUCUUGUUAAAUCUUUGGAAUGUUAAAAGAUUCAUUGAAAACAACCUUAUACACCAAUUUUUUUUAAAGAAAGUUAAAAGGAAUUUUCAAACAAAUUCACUACCUCUUGUUUUGUAAUAUAUUUUUUCGUAGAACAGGAUAACCAAGCAUUAUCACCAUCAUACAACACCGACGUUGGUAAAAUUAAAAGAAAAAAGGAGAAGAGAAAAAAAAUGAACUAGAUUGCGAUAUUUACCGACAACUUUAUCUGUCGAUGUUUACCGAUAAAUUUUUCUUUUAAUAAUUUUAGACAAUUUUUUUUUCCAAUGAUUACUGACAUAUUAAUAAAAUCCUUUGAUAAAAUUUACUAACAACAAUUUUACCAACGAAUUUUUUGUUAUCAAUAAACUUUCAAUAAUUUUAAUUUACUGAUAAAUUUUGUACAUUAUCAACAAAUUUUAAUUGUUAAUAAUAUCGAUUUUUAUCUAUAAUAAAUGCUCUAAUCUUUUACCUGUAUAUCAUCUGUCGCAAUCGGAAAAUCGCGACGGGACGACGAUCCAAAAAGAAAAUAAUUUGAAAAAUGUUUUGGAGUCGCUACUAUAGUUUAUUAUGGAAAACUACGGAAAAACCGUAAAAUGAUAAGGCAAGGUCUACAAAACCAAAUUCUGGUUUCGGAAGUCGGUUACGUGUGGGGAAGGUGUUAGCACCCCCACAGCGCCUGCCCUAAGGCAGUACCUUUAACUAAAUACGUGAAUUUGAUGUGGUUUGCAAAAUGUUUAAUUUCCCCUAAAAAAUAAGACUCUAAAGAAAACAAAAUAUUUUUUGUGUUUUUUGUGUCUGACAAGGAUUGACCUUGCUCCUAUGUAUUCUCAGUUGAACUGAGAAAUCAGGGUUACGUAGUUCUUUAAUUAUGUUCAGAUGAUUGUUUGAAAACAUGAUGUUUUAUAUUUUUUGUUAAUUUUUUGAGAGGAGAAGAAAAAGGUUUUUAACACAAGGCUGAUGCAAAUGGUCGCACGUGUGCUUAAACCUUUUAAAAUAAUAUUUUUUUAUAUUUUUAAAUAGAAGAAGAAAAAGGUUUUUAACACGAACGGUCGCACGUGUGCUUACACCUUUUAAAAUAAUUUUUGUAUUUUUAAAUAGAAGAAGAAAAAAAGGUUUUUAACACAAGGCUGACGCGAAUGGUCGCACGUGUGCUUACACCUUUUAAAAUAACUUUUUUUUUUUAAAAGAAGGAGAAAAAGGUUUUCAACACAAGGCUGAUGCGAAUGGUCGCACAUGUGCUUAAACCUUUUUAAAAUAAUAAUUUUUAUUUUUAAAAGAAGAAGAAAAAAAAAGGAUUUUUAACACAAGGCUGACGCGAAUGGUCGCACGUGUGCUUAAACCUUUUCAAAAUAUUUUUGAUUGAUAGUUUUUAUGAUUUUUAUAUUUUUUUUAUUUUUAACAAACAAACAAUGAUAAAACAAAUUCUAAAGCUAAAGAAAUAAAAGCGAAGGCAAUAAUAAAAAAAACAAUAUAGUCCAAUAAGUCCAAUAAAAAAAGGGAGGGCAGAAGACAAAACCAGGGGUGCAACAUGAAACUUAUUGGCCCAUGACCAGAGGUAGGGGUGCAGCAGAUGAAAAUUGGUGGUGCGUUUGGUAGGUGCUGGCCCAAGCCCUUUUUCGUUUUUGUUGAAGCACGGUGGAGGUGUGAAUGGAAUUGAACAUGGUGGCCAGUAGAUAGAAAGUUGUCCAAUAGGCCUAAGGCCCUUUGCCCCAAAUCAGAACAAUAGGGGUUCUACCAAUUUCCUCUCAUUUGUGCAAGCACCAUCAUGACCCAGGGCCAUUUUCUUCUCUGAACGAAGGAAACAGAGACGCACCUCUACUCAACCGACCACCACAAGCUUCCAUCCAAGUCUUCACCGACAACGCCGCUUGCCACUGGGGCCAUCGCCGGCCACCGUGAGGGUUCUCCCCUUUCUUUCUCUCGCACGAGAGAUCUUCUUGUUCGUGAGUGACGUAGGCUGUUCGUCAUGCAAGUUGCCGUUGCCACCGAGCCAGGGUCGUCGUUCCCCGUCGAGCCUUCCUUCUUCCAUCAUCGCGCCACUGCCAAGGUCAUCGUCGCAACUGCAUCAAACGAAAUUCACGAGACCAUUCACGCCAACUCCUCCCUCCAUGGGUGUACCUUCGUCCAAUCAUUCCACUUCAAGUCAUCGACCUACGGCACCACUUGCCAUUGAUCUAGGUUCGCCGCAACUUUCUCCAAUUAGGCUUACCUUUGCUGCGUCUCCGAGAGCCACCACGAGUCUUCUUGUGCAACUUGCUUCAGAUUUGCCUAAAAAGUCAUCAGAACAUCUGUGUUGAUAUUGUUGCCACCCUUCGUGUAAACUUAGAACUUGCCUCUGAUAUCUGUUUUUUACUUUGAGUGUUGAGAUGAGUUCGUGUGAUGGUGAUGGAGGUAGUGAAUGAGUUUCUCUAUUUUUGUGUUUGGUGUUUCUGUGAUGGAGGGGGGUCGUGAGUGAUUGGCCCUUCUUUGUGUUUUUUAGGUGUCAGACCGAAUGGAAGGGAGGGGAUGGUGAUUCUGUUGAGUUGAUGAGGUUGGAGAUAAUGGUGGAUGCUCUGGUUUUGAGUGUAUCGAAGGUGAUGGAAUGGAAGAACGACGAGAGAGAUGAUUCUGUUGGAGGAAAAUGGGUUCCCUCCUUGAGGUUUGUGUUUUUGGCCGAAGGGAAAAAGAAAAAUGGGUAAGUGAUUGGUGUGUCAGGAAGGAAAUUCCUCCGGAGGUGUGCGUGUUGAGUGAUGGAGAGGAGUGUGUGAGGUUAAUCUAUUGGAUGAACGUCUGAUGGUCUAUUGCUUGAAUGGGGGAAUUAGAGAAGAAGGUGUCAAUAAUGGAUGUUGUUGGAGAUGAAGGGAGGAUGCUUUAUGUGUUGCGUGAUGAGGUGUGGUGUGCGUGAGGAUGGUGUGCCUCUUCCUGAAGGCCUCCCUCUUUGCCAGUAUAUCCUCUGCCAAUCCACACCGUGUCUGCCAACCCAAUCGUGCCUGCAAAAAUCGUUUCUUGCUCCCUUGCUGUCCAACCCCGUACACACUGCUCCUAUCCCAGCUAAAACCUCUCUUUUCUUUUACUUUUUUUUUACUAAAAGACAAAAAACUACACUUUUUUUCUUUUUUUUUCUUUUUUUUUCUUUCAUGUUUUUUCUUUUUUUUUUUCGUUUUCCUUUUCUUUUCUUUUGGUUCUUUCGUUUUGUUUUUUGUUUUUUCUUUCUUUCCUUUUUUUUCAUUUCUUUUCUUACUUAUUUUUUUUAUAUAUUUUGUUUUUCAAAUAGAAAAUAAAAUCAAAUGAUAGCUAAAUCAAAUAUCAAAAAACUAAAAACUAAAAUAAAAUAAGACACAUAAAAAAAUAAGUCCUACUAUUUAGUCACCCAGACGAAAUUGUGGUUGAUAUGAUUAUACUUUUCUCUUCAUGUAACAAGAAGAAACUAUCACUGUCACAUGUUUCCUGAAGUUUAUUUUUUAUGGAGUAAAUUAGUUUUGGCAAUUUGAUGCGUUAUGUACACUACUUUGAUUCUUCAAUUAAAGAAGUUUGUCAGUCAUAAUUGUACUACUACAUGAACUCAAUAUCCUACUUAUCCUACCUAACAAUUCAAUUGUUUUCUCCAUAAUAGUGUAAUAUAUAUUAGUAUUUUAAAUAAAAAAAACAAUAGUAUAUAAUUAAUAUAUUAAUUUAUUAAGUUAUUAAGCAAAUGUUUUUAUUUUUUACUGGUGUCAAAAUAACAUGUCUUUUUUUUUAAAAAAAUAAAAACUUUCAAACCCUCAGCAUUCAGACUCUUUCUAGUUUUAAGUUUAAAAAUAAAAAACAUGAUAAAGUAUUAUUUUUUUUAUGAGUUAAGUGGAUGUUUUUGUCUCUUUGUCAUGUCAAAAUAUCAGUUUUUUUAAAGAUUUGACACGCCUUAGAAUAAAUACAUUCAGAUCAAAACAUGCUAUAAUACGUUAGGGUGGACAAAUUGAACUGAACUGUACUGCACUGCUAAAAUCUGAACUGAACUCUAAAACAGUUCAGACAAACUGAACUGAACUGUAAAACAGUUCAGAAAAACUGAACUGAAUUGUUUUUCGUUUUAUUAAACUGAAUUGAAUUGUACUGUACUAAAUUACAGUAUGAACUAAACUGAACUAUUAAUUGAAUUGUAAACUACACUAACUGAACUAUUAACUGAAUUAUAAACUGCACUAAUUGAACUGAACUAUUUAUUAACUAAAUUGUAAACUAAUUUUAACUAAAGUAUAAUAUAAACUGAACUACUAACUAUACUAAUUUUAAACUAAAUUGUACUAAUUUUUAAACUAAAUAUUAUAACAAUACAUAUUGAAAUUUAUUUUAAUAUUUAUUUUAUUUUAUUCAUAAGUAUCUAAUAAAAUGAUUUUUAAUUAUUUAAUAUUAUUAUUUUCUAUUUUAUUUAUAUUUCUUUUAUUAUUAAAAAUUAUUUUAUUUUUUAUUUAUUUACUUAUAUAUAUAUAUAUAUAUAUAAAUGUAUAUAUAUAACUUAAAAAAUAUAAAAAUAUAAAUUAUGUUUUUUAUUUUUAUUGAUAAAAAAUGGAAAUUUUGUGAUAAAAAAAUUGUCUUAAAAAAUUAAUUAUUAUUUUUUUAUGUGAACAAUUUUAUUUAUUAGUAUUUUAUUAUUAAAUAAAGUUUUCUUGAGUUGUACUGAAACUAGAGAAGAUAUAAGAGUAAAUACAGUUCUCACAGUUAACUGAACUGUAAUGUUAUAAAAAACUGAACCAUAAAACAGUAUACUGAACUGUUAGUAAAAGUGGUUCAGUUAUUUUUAGUAUAAUAUAGUACAGUUAACUACAGUACAGUACAGAUCAGUUAUUUUUGCCCAACCUAAUACAUUGGGUUGAUUUGAUGAUAAUUUUGAUGAUGUAUGCAAUUUUGUUGUUGUUAUUGAUUCGCCUUAUUCGUCUCACUUAUUGUCAAAAAUAUCAUUAUCCUAGUUGAAAAUAGGAAUGCAUGCCAAACGAAUCAUAGUAUGCAAAAGGAAAUGUAUAGGAGAGACUGAACUUUUGAGCUCCCGUAACUUGUAAUUCACGUUGCUAAUAUGAGAGAAGACGUUUGCAUAAAUUUAAAUUAAAAAAGAAUUAUAUUUUUUAAUAUUAAAUAGAAAGAUAAAUAUAUCAUUAUAUAUAUAAUCAUUAUAUAUAUAUAUAUAUAUAUAUAUAUAUAUAUAUAUAUAUAUAUAUAUAUAUAAAUUAUUAACCAAGCAUUCAUAUAAAUACGGGAAACUAAUCACUAAUCACUAAUCACUAUGAUUUAAUAAUGCGCAUACUUUAAAAGAAAACUUUAAUAUCUAAAUUGGAAAAAAUUAAGAUUCAAACAGUAUAAUUGUUAUUUUGUUUUGAGGGAAUAUUUUAGUGAUUAUAUUUAAAUUAUAUUUUUUUCAUUCUUUUGCUUGUUAAUUUAAAAUAAAUAAAUUAAAAUAUAAAUAAUCUUUAUGUGGGCUAUCCUACGAGUCAAAAUGUUACGUGGAAGAAGCCAAGAAAAUUAAUUUGCAUGUCAUUGAUAGCCCUGAUUCACUUUUUAUGCACCAAAUGCAAAGCAGAACAAAACAGGACGCAUUCUCACCCUAUAAUAAAAAGAAAAUAUAUUUUAAUAAUUUUUUAGACAAUGUUUUUGAACGGUUUUUAUGGAAACGAAUCGGUAAAAUAAUAAUAUAUAAUUUGUUGUCAAAAAAUUAUAAAAUAUUAUAAUAAAAAAUAAAUAAAUGUAUGAGUCUUUCUAUAUAUAUAUUAAUCAUUUUAUUUGUAUUUAUUUAAUGUGAGAUUUCAAGGGCUUGAAUUCUUAAGAUAUGACAUACAUGUACUUAUCAUCAUGAUAAAUAAAUGACGUGGCAUUUUAGCAAAAUUAUUAUAAACCGGCGGAAAAACAUUUUGGUAGCUAACCGAAUCUUAUUAAAGCAUCAAAUUCAUAUAUAUUUUUUCUUGAGGAGUUGAUAAUGUUGAGAAUUAGAUAAAUCUAUUUUAAUUAAUUUAUCUUUUUAAAUUUCUGUUAAAUGAUUCUUUAUUUCCUGACUUUUAUUUUUCAAAAUUUCAAAAUAUUAAUUAUUUUAAUAGAUGGACCGAAUUAUUCAAUCGGCUUUUUAUUAUUAUACUUUACCACAACGUUUUAUUGAGAGAAAUAAAAUCUUAACCCUCUUUUAAAAAUAAACAAGGUCGUGCUCCACGGGAAACAUAAAAUAUUCCUCGCCACGAGCUUUAAUGUUAUAUAUAAUUUAUUUACUACUAUUAUUGCUGUGCUUCGUGAAGCUCGUGGAUUUUAACUGUUGUUAAAAUAAGAAAUAAAAUGUUAUCUCUGAUGUCUCUUUUUAUUUUUAUAUUAUAACUUUUCUAAUUAUUAAAAGAAAGGUUGCUAUCUUUUGUGACACGUGUCUCAUUGGAUUGCUAAAACAAAGUCAACUUCUUGCUUUAAUUUGUAUUGUGUCAAAUAACUAUCGAAUAUGUUUGUAUAUUUUAAAAUUACAAAACAAUAUAUAUAUAUAUAUAUAUAUAUAUAUAUAUNNNNNNNNNNNNNNNNNNNNNNNNNNNNNNNNNNNNNNNNNNNNNNNNNNNNNNNNNNNNNNNNNNNNNNNNNNNNNNNNNNNNNNNNNNNNNNNNNNNNNNNNNNNNNNNNNNNNNNNNNNNNNNNNNNNNNNNNNNNNNNNNNNNNNNNNNNNNNNNNNNNNNNNNNNNNNNNNNNNNNNNNNNNNNNNNNNNNNNNNNNNNNNNNNNNNNNNNNNNNNNNNNNNNNNAUAUAUAUAUAUAUAUAUAGAUAAUAAUAUUUAGACAACAUUUUUUUGACAAUAUUUGAACAUUGAUUAUGUUUUAAUAUGUGAUUGGUCAUAAAUUACUUUAUAAUCAAUAAUAAUAAUCACAAACACUAUUAUAAAAUAAUUUACGACCAAUCACGUAAUCAAUGUUAAAAUGUUAUCAAGAAAAUAUUGUCUAAAUAUCAUUAUCAUAUAUAUAUAUAUAUAUUAAUUAGAAAAACCAUAUAAACAAUCAAAUUAAAUAUAUAAGUUCUUCACUUAAAACAAAUAAAAGCAUAAAAAUACAUCAAUAUAUAAAUUCCAAUUUUGUAUAGUUUCUUAGCUUAGCAAUUACAUUAAAAUAACUGAGUCCAACUUCAUCCUUAUCCAUAUAUUGUACUUGCAUAGCAUGACAUCUAAUCUUUUACUUACACUGAGCACGUCGCUAAAGACAUCUAUAUAGUCUCUCCGAAUUUUUUUAAAAUCUUUUUAUUAUAAAUGAAUUUGAAUUAAUUUUAUUCUAAUAGCCUUAAAGAAUAAAAAGUAUAAAAAAAAUUGACAAUAAUUAUCUUCGUAUAAUUAUAGAUCAUAAUUAUACAGUUCUGUUAUGAACUUUACAAAUAUUUAGACUAUAUAUAAAUGAACAAAAUUGAUUAUUAUAUAUCUUUUCUGUUAAAACCAACAUUGAAAAUGAUGAUUUUCAGAAAAUAUUUUUAUUGGUAAGAAAAAAAAAUUGGUUUUCGGAUAAAAAACUCGUUUCAAAAUUCUACGAUAUCAUAUUUCACAACAUUAUGGAUCAAACUACCAAUAAUUGCUUUCUUUUUUUAAAAAUUGCCAAUUCUUUACAUUUCUCCACCUAUAACAUUUCAAAUAUCUUAACACAAAUUAUUAUUUUUCAUUAAAAAUCGAGUUAUUUUAAAAAUAUAUUUCAUUAAUUUAAUAAAUUAACUAUAAUUCAGUUAUUAAAUUUAGAAAAAAAUAUUAAAAUAAUUUACCCACAUGUUGUGAAUGUCUCUCUUUCAUAAAUGAACCUUUGUUUCUAUUCUGAGCUCUUUCUUUCCUUCUUUUUUCCUUUCUCUAUGUUGGAAAUUGAACUCUCCAUAUAUAAUUAAACCAUGUAUUAUCUUAUGAUUUUUGAAGUAGAAACACGUGCUGCUAUAGCACCAUCUUUGGUUCUAUAUAAAGAACCAAAAUGCAGUACACCAAAACAUCUCCAACAACACCUUCCAAAUCGAUCAACCAUGAAGCCAACCCUAGUUCUUGCUCUCUCUUUCCUCCUUCCCCUCCUUGCUUUCUUCACCAACCUUCCCUUAGCUUUCUCAGAUGAUGUUCAACAAGUUGUGGACAUAUAUGGGAACCCCAUUUUCCCAGGUUUCAUAUACUACAUCAUCCCAGCAAUCCGUGGUCCAGCUGGUGGUGGAUUGAAACUUGCCCAAACUGGAAAGUCAGAGUGCCCUCUUACUGUUCUGCAAGAUUACUCAGAAGUCUUCCGUGGCCUCCCUGUGCAAUUCACCAUUCCCGGAAUCAGCCCUGGAAUCAUCUUCACAGGUACUAAUCAAUACUUCAUUGUCAUGAGAAUCGUUAGAAGUCUCAUCUCGACUGAAUGGAUGUAGUGAGCCGAUUUUGCAAGAUUGAAUUAGACUUAAAGUCUAUGGUAUUAUAGUUAUGAUCAGAAUCCAUCCUAACGAUAUUUGUUAUCUGUUGAACAUGUUGUUUCACCUGCUAUUAGGUCAUUAUCCGACUAUAUAUUAAUGUCUAGUCUCACGAUGAUAUGUUUAUACCUCAAUUUAUAGAUUGAAUUGAGCUUAAAUUUGAUUUCCUAACAAAUUUCUUAUAAAUGAUCUUCUGUUAUUAAUUUCAAGUUUUGGAAACUUCCCUAUAGGUACCAAACUGGACAUCGAGUUCGUACAUAAGCCAUUAUGUACAGAAUCCUCCAAGUGGUUGGUGUUCGUGGACGAAUCAAUCCAGAAAGCAUGCGUGGGAAUUGGUGGUGCCGAAGGCCAUCCAGGGCAACAAACUUUUGGUGGCAAAUUUCACAUUGAGAAAUACAAAUUUGGGUACAAGCUUGUUUUCUGCAUCACCGGCUCACCAACUUGCUUGGAUAUUGGGAGAUUUGAUGCAGAGAACGGUGAGGAAGGAAGACGCUUGAAUCUCACUGAGCAUGAAGCAUUCGAUAUUGUGUUCGUACCAGCUUUUGAAGCUGAUAAGGUUAUUAAGUCUGUAGUUUGAAUCAAAUAUCUCUAGUUAAUCAGAUUUUAGUUAAUGCAAUCAUAUGUUGUUUUGAUUUGCAUUACCUAAGAGAAUCUAGUCCAAAGACUGAAUAAGAUAGUUAAUUUCUAAUUUCUUGCCUGAUAUCUUUCUCUCUUUCAUUUCGUUCAAACUUCAAUGAAAGACAUUAAAAAAUUUAGGUUUAAUAUUCUGAAAUGCCCACACAAGCCGACGUGGUUCUGCCAUGCACAACUUUAAAUACUAAACAUCAUAUAUUAUAUAUAAUAAAAUAUUAGUCCUCGUGACCCUCGACCUAUUCGAC
This 24747-nucleotide long non-coding RNA is filed under the name Vigna radiata. Its description in RNAcentral is "long non-coding RNA (VRAD_LNC000278)". Lineage: Eukaryota; Viridiplantae; Streptophyta; Magnoliopsida; Fabales; Fabaceae. The record is from RNAcentral.